Molecule: ribosomal RNA, 301 nt
Filed under: uncultured bacterium
Lineage: Bacteria
Description: partial 16S ribosomal RNA
Rfam family: Bacterial small subunit ribosomal RNA
Source: RNAcentral
CAGUAGCCGCGGUAAUACGAAGGGUGCAAGCGUUACUCGGAAUUACUGGGCGUAAAGCGUGCGUAGGCGGUGAGUUAAGUCUGCUGUGAAAUCCCCGGGCUCAACCUGGGAAUGGCAGUGGAUACUGGCUCGCUAGAGUGUGUCAGAGGCUGGUGGAAUUCCCGGUGUAGCAGUGAAAUGCGUAGAGAUCGGGAGGAACAUCAGUGGCGAAGGCGGCCAUCUGGGACAACACUGACGCUGAGGCACGAAAGCGUGGGGAGCAAACAGGAUUAGAGACCCCGGUAGUCCCUGUCUCUUAUAC